CAGCCGUAAACUAUGCUCGCUAGGUGUCAGGCAUGGCGCGACCGUGUCUGGUGCCGCAGGGAAGCCGUGAAGCGAGCCACCUGGGAAGUACGGCCGCAAGGCUGAAACUUAAAGGAAUUGGCGGGGGGAGCACCACAACGGGUGGAGCCUGCGGUUUAAUUGGACUCAACGCCGGGAAGCUCACCGGAUAAGACAGCGGAAUGAUUGCCGGGCUGAAGACUCUGCAUGACUAGCUGAGAGGUGGUGCAUGGC
RNAcentral lists this ribosomal RNA (252 nucleotides) under uncultured archaeon. Its description in RNAcentral is "partial 16S ribosomal RNA". It matches the Rfam family "Archaeal small subunit ribosomal RNA", at positions 748 to 998 of the family's 1478-position model. The record is from RNAcentral.